UUGCAGACAUGAAGGUGGAAGUGAAAAACAAAGUUCGUUUUGUAAGAUCGAUGACGUUGAGCUGUGUUACAUUCUGUAUUGAAACAGUAACAGAGCAACUAUACUUAAGGUUCACGAGGAAUAUGUUCCCAUAUGCUUGGAGGCCCUUAAUGAUGGAACACCUGAUGUGAGGAAUGCAGCUUUCUCAGCUUUGGCGGCUAUUUCCAAGAUGGUUGGCAUGAGACCUUUGGAAAAGUCUCCAGAAAAAUCUGGAUGAUGUCAGAAAAAAGAAGUAUCUGAAAUGAUUGGGGGUCGACGGGGGAUCCUUAUGCUCUUCCAAAGUCAGGUGUUGUUCAACCUUCUAGAGCAGUUUUGACUACGAGGUAAAUUUUCUACGUAGAAAAUUUGUCCUCAUUAUUUUGGAAUGAGCUCAUUGCGAAGUACUACUAUGAUUUGACUAUAAUCUGAAAAAGAGAAGAGAUCAUGAAAUUUAUAAUCAUUUUCUUUUAUCUUCUGACAUACAAAUGGGACGAAAUUUAUUGGUAUCUUGGGGCCUAACGGGUAACUUUGAAACUACAUUCUAUGAUCUUAAAUGUUCAUGAUUUCUUUAGGCUGUUCAGUAGCCUUCGAUAUAGUUAUGUAUGAAAUCUUUGAUUACAUGGAGAGCUUAGUCCUUUUA
Salvia splendens (bonfire salvia) is the source of this 658-nucleotide long non-coding RNA. RefSeq lists it as uncharacterized. The record is from RefSeq and is a predicted model, not a curated record. The transcript is spliced from 4 exons. Lineage: Eukaryota; Viridiplantae; Streptophyta; Magnoliopsida; Lamiales; Lamiaceae.